Molecule: long non-coding RNA, 1717 nt
Filed under: Neodiprion lecontei (redheaded pine sawfly)
Lineage: Eukaryota; Metazoa; Arthropoda; Insecta; Hymenoptera; Diprionidae
Description: uncharacterized LOC124295143
Source: RNAcentral
GGAGGAGGUGGAUGAGGAAGAUGAGGAGAACAAGGUGGACUAGGAUUUGUGCACGGAGAAGGACGAGGAGGAAAAGGACAAGGAAGCUGAGGGUAACAAGGUGGACGAGGAUUUGUGCUCGGCAACGCCUCCGAAGACUUUUUUCACACCGGCCAUCUAAUCCUCUGAGUCUGCAGCUUACAAUAAAGUUGUGGCAUCUAAGAGAUGUGAGAACUCGACUGAUAGGUCGGAAACCGAUGCAUCCUCUGCACAUCAGUCUGGUAGCAAUACUUCGGCGUGCGUACAAAUGCGACGUUGAAAAAAUGAGUGAUGGAUCAGUAUCUUACCGAAGAGAGAGAUGAUCUGGUGUAUGGGGGCUGUAUUCAAUCACGACUCGUUUCGUAAUUCAGCAGAGAAAGUGGCUUUAUUCAAAUACAUUUUCUCCGAAAUUGAUGAAGUCCAAAAAUUAGAACUCAAAUUCUGCGAAAGCCUUAACAAGAUUGCACAGAAACAACAAAUGCAUCUCAUUGUGAGAUAUUGGGACAAAGAAAAAAAUGAAGUAAGUACGUCGAGGUACCCGACGUCUGUUUUCCUGGAACAUACGACUGAAGAAGAUUUGUUGAAGGCUUUCAAAAGAGCCAUAGAUGGAUACGAUCUUGAAAAGAUUCUACAUGCAUCGAUGGACGGCUCACAUGUCAAUUUCAAAUUUUUUGGCUUCUCAAGGAGGACAUUAAAUCUGAGAAUGAUGACCUGAAACUUCUUGAUGUCGGUUGAUUCGGUAUUCAUUCGCUGCAUUGUGCAUUCCAAGCUAGGAUUUGCGGUACUGGUUAGGAAAUCAUCGAUUUUUUGAGAGCCUUAUAUAACUUUUUUAAAGACGGUCCUUCUCGACGAAAAGAGUUUAUAGGACAUUACAUGAGAAGGAAAUAUUGAAAGAAAUAUAAUGAAGAAUUAUAACAGACCUGAAGGAAGACUUGCUCAUUUUUUGAUGAGAACGUUGAGAAACACUGACGGUAACGAUCAUUUCAAAAUCUUCAUUAAAACAUUGCUCAUUAUAUCACAUGGUAAUGCGAACUUAGAAAGAGGCUUUUCGACCAACAAAGAAAAAUUCGUAGAAAAUCUUCAUGAACAAUCUGUGGUGCUACGGUAAGUUUACGAUGCUGUUAUCGCAGCUAGUGGGAUACACAAUGUUCCAAUCACUAAAGCACUUAUCCAUGCCGCAAGAAAUACUCACACGAGAUACAAGGCAGCUUUGGUGCAAAAAGCAACAGAGAACAAGGCCCAAGAACAUGAGAAUGAGCAAAAGAAGAGGGUCGCUCGGUAACAAAGAGAACUAUCAACAAAAAAGCUGAAAGUGCUCAAAGAAAUACACGAGAAAAAAAGCUGAUUUCGAAGAAAUUAAAAACCAGGCGAAGUCCGUUCAUCGAGCAUAGUGACGAAGAGAAGCAGUUACUAAAACAUUACCGUUCUCAAAAAUGUAUCUCUACCUAUCAUAUUGUACCGUUUUAUAAUUUGUGAUACUUUUUACUGGCAAGAACUGUUACAAGGGUUACCUAACGCACAUCUGGAUGUGUAUUAUCGCGCAAAACCCUCCCGGGGUACAUCUGACCCCGAUGUUCCAGAAAAACCAAUUCACAACCUAUGUUAAGUUAACUAGUCAAGUUACUUCCUCGUCUAUUUCUUCUUAUCUACGUAACGCGUAUAACACGAGCUACGGAUACAAUCAACGAGGAGAACUAUC